GACUGUGAGCAGAUAGCACGGUAGGCACAGAGGCCCCGGGAGUGGCGGGGACUGUGGCAAACUGGAGAAUGCCUGCCUGUCCCAGGAGCGCAGCAAUCCAGCCCACCGGCUGCUAACUUAGCCAAGAACUCCAAACAAAUACAUCGUUUGAUUUUUCCAGACAAGGUGGGCAUUCUAAUGUAUAACAUUGGUAUCCAACUAAAAAUUCAAAAGCUUACAAAUAAUAACUCAAACUGACUACCCUCUGGAACACAAGUGCCUGGAGCAACGCUGACCUGAAGGCAACCAAGAUAAAGAUUCCCAAAGGCCAAGUUGUCACGGGAGGUAGGGCCUGCGCCACAGACGGGACACUAAAAGUGCAGGGAAGUCCAAAAAGCUGAGUCCAAAGGAGCCAUCGAAAUGAGCGCUGUGACGCGGCAGACGCAGCAGCAUCACUCGGAAGAACUCAUGAAGUAGUAGUUGGACAAGGCAAAGCAUCUGACCAGAUGCGGAGGAACAUUGUACCCAUCUAUCUUGAGUUCGCACUGUACAUGUGAGACCCAUCAGCUCUAAGACAGCCUGUGUUUCAGUCUCCAAAACAGCCAAAUCGCAAGUACCGUCUUAUGGGGUCCACCCCGCAGCCUGAAUUCAAAUUCUGACUUUUCCUACAGAAAGUGACAUUUUUGGAAAGAUGGCCUUUGGCACUUUGGCAACUGCUAAAAUAUAUAUCAAGUAUAUAUAUAUACAUGAAAUCACAUACCAAAAAAUAUCAAUGGAGCACUCCGAGAGGAGGGGCAACCCCUUAAGAGCAAAGAAAUACAGCAGAAUCUCAGGGAGAAAAGGAUGAGCUCCGGGGACUGUGCGGGCAGAUUGCCACUAGAGGAGAUUUGAGGUGACGCUGGCAACUGGGGUGAGCACCCAGGACCAAGGGAACAGUCUCUGGGGUGAGUUGACCAUGCACUCUUGUCUCCGGAUGUUUGACUUCCUGAAUCUUCUCUGAACAAUGCCAUCUCUGUCCUGGCACCCUGGCAAGCAGUCCCAUGAGAGCCAGGUUCUUGUCACAUGUCCUCUUCCUGGAGUGAGUCACUGGAGAAUUGAGCUGUAGUCAUAACCUUCACCGGAGAAGGGCAGUGAAAGUGGCAGGGAGUGAACACAAACGAGGUACAACUUGGUGCUUAAUGUUCCCUUCCAUCAACAUUUUGCCCCGGGCCUUAACCUUGCAACUCAAAAGUACCGUGGAAUAAUGAAUGGGAUAAACUGAAUGACCUGCUUGUAGUCCACAAACAAAGAACCUUUCAGCAGCCCGUGGUCUUAUCUGUUCCAAUCAAGACUAGCCUGUUACAAACCAGAGGGAGAAUGGGAGAUCUGAGAGAAAUGUCUUAGUCUUAACAGAAAAUUAGACAAGCCAUUUUGUUAUCUUCUCAGGAAAAGUGAUAACAGAAAAAAGAGAAAAUCUAAAUAACUGUAGGAAACCCACCUAGAAUUUGAAUGUUGAGAACUGACAGCAUGUCUUUCUCUUUUGGUUGUUAAGCACAGUUUUAGGAUGACAAACAUAAAAUAAAAAUCAAUAGCCAUCUUAUCGAUGUGCAGCCUUCAAGAUCUAUUUCUCAAGCCUAGGUGUGCGCUUGGUGGUGGGUGGUGUCUUCACCCUGGAUCACUGCUGUGAUAGGGCAGAGAAACAGUAGAGUGAAAAUGGGGAUCAGGUAGGUCCCACCCUGCGCUCUGCUGUGUGGCCUUGGUGUGUGCCCAUGCAGGACCUCACUCUCUGGGGUUCUUUAUCUGAAAAAUGAAGUUUGUUCAGAUAAUUUAAUAUUUUCUUUUACACACCCCCUGGCUUCAAUGUUUAUGGCUGUUCUGAUAAAAAAGAGAUGACAGUAAUUCUUACCAGUACCACUCCGUCACCCUUCACAGUGUCCUAAAUACGGGCCCAGUAUGGGCUCCCCUUCAUAGUGUGUUCAAAUGAAGCUCCCUUGUUUGCUCUGAGUAGUACAAACGGUCACCCCAAUUUUCUGAAUUUCAGCAGGCCCAGUGGGUCAUUCCAUGAGCUGCUCAAAUUCACAUCUUAUUCUCAACUGAUUCUUUUCUGCGGAGCCCCAGCUUCACUCUGCCAGUCAGUUCUUCUGACCUUCGACCCAGGAACGAGUGCGAGCACGCAUGGGCCCUGCUCUGCGGAAGCGCACCUUCCAGUCAGCAUGCAGACCUAUCUGCAGACCAAGCCUGAGCGAAACAUAAAGGCUUCCCUGUGACAACCCAUGGGAGGGCAGGGGCAUUCUGGCUUGGGUAAACUUCCUGGAGGAGAACACAUUUGUACUGAACUUGUGAGACAGGUAGAGCUGAGUUAGGAGGCUGACACCAAGGAAGAAAAUAUGCUGAGGGCAGGACAAAGGCACAGGGGCCGAGCAGUGUGGCGCACAUGAGGAGUGACAAGGGGCCCUUGCUGGCUGGAGCUUCUAGUGUCUGAAGGAGUGGAGCUCAGAAACUCAGGCAAAGGCCUGCUCAUAGUCUUCAGAAUUCUGAGGAACUUAGGCUUGCGGGGGAACAGGCAUCCUGCUCAGGGACAUGUCACAGUGAUGCCUGGAGCUCAUGCAGGGUGUCCCGUCAGCAGAGGGCUCGACAGAAUAGAGUGGAGGAGGAAAGAGCCACAGGGGUUAUGACAGUGACCAGAUGAGGGGUCACGGGGGCCUGAGGUCCAGUGUGAGAGCAGGGCUGGAAAGGAGGAACGCUUUGGAAGGCCCUGGAGCGGCAUAGAGUGGGAUUCCACAACAGAUGGGAUACGGGGAUACGGAAGGUCACAAGAGAGCAAGAGAGCUCUGCACUCUUGCUACAAACAACUCUGCAACCCAGAGUGCAACCCAGUCGCCUUGACAUGCCAGGCUCCCAAGAUAACUUAUCCUGGGGUUGUGGUCUGAAGUUCCCUGAUGGAGAAGACACCAGGGAAAUUGGCCAACUAUGGAGAACUGUGCAUUAUUCCCUACUAUCUGCUUUCCUUCAUUAAAAAUAGAACCCCUACUUACCUGGACACAUACCUUGUAGCCUUAUUCGGCAUAAAGAUUUUUUUUUAAACCUUUAUUGAUUCUAGGCAAGGCCGAGUGAUAACGUCUGACCAAUGAUUGCAAUCAGAAGUGUCAGACUUCUGUAAAAUAGUGUUUUCCUGAUGGCCAGAAGGCAAAACAAUGACUGGAGUUUGAGUGGCCGUCUUGAACCACAAGGAAGAAAUUGCACACUGGGAGCAAUGCGGCCAGGUGAUCCAUCCGUAGAGCCGCCUGUAAUAAUUGUGGAAUUGCUACACCUGUCCCAGGCUGCCAACAUCUGGAUUUCAUUGACACGGAAGAGAAAUAAAUGUAUACUUAAUGCUA
Molecule: long non-coding RNA, 3335 nt
Organism: Chinchilla lanigera (long-tailed chinchilla)
Lineage: Eukaryota; Metazoa; Chordata; Mammalia; Rodentia; Chinchillidae
Exons: 4
Source: RefSeq, a predicted model, not a curated record